AGAAGUUUGUAGCCUGGCGUCAGGGACGUAACGGCUGGCGGCGUGCUUAACACAAUGCAAGUCGAACGGAGGUAACCCUCGAAAGUACGAUUUCGGUCGAAUGGAGUAGGACGUACUUAGUGGCGGACGGGUGAGUAACGCGUGAGGAACCUGCCUUUCAGAGGGGGACAACAGUUGGAAACGACUGCUAAUACCGCAUAACGUACGGGUAUCGCAUGGUACUGGUACCAAAGAUUUAUCGCUGAGAGAUGGCCUCGCGUCUGAUUAGCUAGUUGGUAGGGUAACGGCCUACCAAGGCGACGAUCAGUAGCCGGACUGAGAGGUUGGCCGGCCACAUUGGGACUGAGAUACGGCCCAGACUCCUACGGGAGGCAGCAGUGGGGAAUAUUGGGCAAUGGGCGCAAGCCUGACCCAGCAACGCCGCGUGAAGGAAGAAGGCUUUCGGGUCGUAAACUUCUUUUGACAGGGAAGAGCAGAAGACGGUACCUGUCGAAUAAGCCACGGCUAACUACGUG
Molecule: ribosomal RNA, 515 nt
Filed under: uncultured Oscillibacter sp.
Lineage: Bacteria; Bacillati; Bacillota; Clostridia; Eubacteriales; Oscillospiraceae
Description: bacterial SSU rRNA
Rfam family: Bacterial small subunit ribosomal RNA
Source: RNAcentral